GGCGAGGUAGCUCAGGUGGUUAGAGCGUCGGAUUCAUAACCCGGAGGUCGGGAGUUCAAGUCUCCCUCUCGCUACCA
Molecule: transfer RNA, 77 nt
Filed under: Flavobacteriaceae bacterium
Lineage: Bacteria; Pseudomonadati; Bacteroidota; Flavobacteriia; Flavobacteriales; Flavobacteriaceae
Description: tRNA-Met
Rfam family: tRNA
About the family: Transfer RNA (tRNA) molecules are approximately 80 nucleotides in length. Their secondary structure includes four short double-helical elements and three loops (D, anti-codon, and T loops).
Source: RNAcentral